UACGGGGGGGGCAAGCGUUGUUCGGAAUUACUGGGCGUAAAGGGUUCGUAGGUGGCCAACUAAGUCAGACGUGAAAUCCCUCAGCUUAACUGAGGAACUGCGUCUGAUACUGGAUGGCUUGAGUGCAGGAGAGGAAUGCGGAAUUCCAGGUGUAGCGGUGAAAUGCGUAGAUAUCUGGAGGAACACCGGUGGCGAAGGCGGCAUUCUGGACUGCAACUGACACUGAGGAACGAAAGCCAGGGUAGCAAACGGG
This 253-nucleotide ribosomal RNA is filed under the name uncultured bacterium. Its description in RNAcentral is "partial 16S ribosomal RNA". It matches the Rfam family "Bacterial small subunit ribosomal RNA", at positions 524 to 776 of the family's 1533-position model. The record is from RNAcentral.